UAAGAGACGUAACUGGAAUGUGAUGUGUAGCGGUGAAAUGCUUAGAUAUGUCACAGAACGCCAAUCGUGAAGACAGGUUACGAACUUAAUACUGACGCUCAUGCACGAAAGCGUGGGGAUCAAACAGGAUUAGAUACCCUGGUAGUCCACGCUGUAAACGAUGAUCACUCGUUGUUGGAUGGUAACAUUCAGUGGCUAAGCGAAAGCGAUAAGUGAUCCACCUGGGGAGUACGAUCGCAAGGUUGAAACUC
RNAcentral lists this ribosomal RNA (251 nucleotides) under uncultured bacterium. RNAcentral's name for it is "partial 16S ribosomal RNA". It matches the Rfam family "Bacterial small subunit ribosomal RNA", at positions 649 to 902 of the family's 1533-position model. The record is from RNAcentral.